UUCUCCCUCUCCCCUCUUUCCCAUAUCUACAGCAUAUACACACUUAUCACGCACACACUCUUUAUGAGACUGUGGUUCUCUCAGGGAACAGACCAGAGGAGCAGGACGUUUGUCACGAAAAAGCAGAAGCGGCACUGCGGUGUCAGCAGAGCCAAAGAAGAUGGCAUUGAGGACACAGUGUUGCCAUAGACCACCAAGAAUCAGCAACUAAAACAAGAAGCUUUUCAACAGCCAUCACAGACAUUUCAACAGCCCAGCAUAGUGCGGAUUUACAAUUCUCAUUAGCAGCAUUUGUCAAGCAAGAGACAAAUAUCAUCCAUCCAACUUCUUGCAUAACAUCUCUGUCUGAAAAAAGCUGGAAUAGAGCAUUGGAAGCUAUUGUUUGCAGGGUUCAGGCCUGCAAGGAACAGAAAUCACUCAAAGAAAUUGGCAACUAAAGCAUAAAGAAUAUUGGAAGAAAAACAGGGGUGAACAGGGAUCACAUGAGGCAUGUCAUUCAGAGCACAUGCACUCUACAUGAACAUGUUUAAUACACUUUCAUGUGAGUUCAAGGCUUGUAAUUCUUCCUCUCAUCAAUUCUUAAUCUUCAAAAAAAUUGUAACAAUGGUUCACGUGAAGUCCCAGGGAUGACAUUAUCACAUUGUCUCGGGUGAAGAUCUGGCAAUAAUGUUGUCAAACGUGAUGCUGGGUGUCCUCCUGUCCUUUCUAAUCCUCCUGACUGUCAGUGGUAAUGUGCUGGUGUGCCUCGCUGUCUGCGCCUCCCGACGCCUCCGCUGUCUCACUAACUGCUUCAUCGUGUCACUGGCCGUCACAGACCUGCUACUUGGCCUCCUGGUCCUUCCUUUCUCCGCCCUCCUUCAGCUUAACAGUGAGUGGCCGCUCGGCCCGGUCUUCUGCAACUUCUACAUCUCCAUGGAUGUCAUGCUCUGCACUGCCUCCAUCCUCACCCUCCUUGUAAUCAGUGUGGACCGCUACCUGGCAGUGACCAUGCCUCUGAGAUAUGCAUCACUAGUGUUGCCAUGGAGAGUUGCUGUUGCGAUGACCGCUGUUUGGACGGUUUCAAUUGCCGUGUCUUUCUUGCCCAUCCAAAUGGGCUGGAACACUGUUAAUGGGACUGUGCAAAACCAUGGGCCCUGGGCUCAGGAGCGGAAAUGUCGUUUUGAACUGAACAGACCCUAUGUACUGACUGACUCUCUCCUCACCUUCUACCUGCCUCUGGUGGCCAUGUGCUGGACGUACCUACGAAUACUUCGCAUUGCACAGGCGCAGGCCAAACGCAUAGGCAGUGCCAGACCCACUUAUUUAACUUACAACUGCAGGAACAGUCCCUCCACCUGCACCACGGUGGUUUCCAACGUUACAGCUGUGGCUCUGCGGGAGCACAAAGCCACAGUGACUCUGGCAGCAGUGAUCGGAGCGUUUGUGGUGUGCUGGCUGCCGUAUUUCAUCCUGUUCACAGUGUUGGGCCUAAAAGAGCAUCCAGACCCCAGCACAGUACAAGAAUAUCCCUUUGUGUUGUGGCUGGGUUAUGCCAACUCAGCACUCAAUCCACUACUCUAUGGAGCCCUAAACAGAGACUUCAGGUCAGCCUACACCCAUCUACUAAGAUGUCGAUGCCCGUCUUACAGUGGGAGGAGCAGCAGACAGCAGUCUUCAACAGAACCAAAAGGCAGAGACCCGUUUACAGAGGUGACACUGUUGUGUGGCCACACACAUUUUACCUGCAGGGCUGGUGUUACAGAUCAAAACUUUGUGCUUCAAGAAUUUAACAACAGGACCGACGCAGUAACUACCCAAACUGGAAAUGACACCGCUGUCACUGAUGUCCAUACAGAUGAUUUAAAUGAUCAGCCUCAGGAUGAAGAGAACAAAAGGAACUUCCAAGAUUAACAGCCCGACUGCUAAAGGCUUCAGCGUCAACCACAGUACAGUAUGUAAGUAGAAAAAAAUGCAUCCCUCUAACCCCCACAGACAAUGUCAGGCCCAGAACAAAUGAACUGUGACACUCAGAUCCUACUGGUGUCAUCCACCGAGCAUCAGGCCAUAUGGCAAUAUCGUUGUUAGGCCAAGAAAUAUGCUUUCAGAAGGGAGGCACUUUAUGUUUCACAUCCUGCUUUCACGUGUAUGUUCACACUUUGUGAACAGGAUCAAAUCAUUAGUUUACCAUUUCCAUGCACAUUUUUGUAAAUAUUCUGUAAGUAAAAGCAACAAGGCGAGUUUUCAGACCUUUGCUUUGACACAGCACCACAUUAAACCCAACACACAAGAGCCUUGUAAAGAGUUAACCACUGCAAUUUACAUGCCUGGAUGUCAUGACACCGUCAUCAGAUUUGGUGUCUUGUAAUUUGUAUUAAAUGUUAAAAAGCAGGUUAAAUACAUUUAAAGUGCAACAUGAUCUUUUACUACAGUUCAUCCUAUCUGCUAAUAAAAGCACAACAAUAUCAACUUAGAAUAAAGUGUACACUUCAUGAGACAUUGUUUUAAGAUGGUACAAAUUAAGAAUAAACAAAUUAUAUCUAUGAUGCAUGUAUUUUCAAAUAAUGAAAUCCUCAAGGGAGAUGGCUGACAUUAUCUUGUGCACCUACUGUCUUAUACUGGGGAAGCAUUUUUUUUAGUGCAUUAACCAAAAUAAUAAUAAUUUACUUAUAUCAUAUUGUUGAUAUAAAAAGCUUAAACAGAUGUUAGAAGUUUGUUGCAGAUAAAAAUGUUCUUUUUAUGCUUUUUAUAUUUAGGCUUUAUAUGCGAUUUUUUUGAUCCAGCAGAUGUCACCCUUGAGCACCAGCAUGAAACCAAAACAACUCGCGCUGCAUUGUUGUGUUAGCAUGCUAAUGCUAGCGAUCUUUAUUAUGCUUGUAUCUUCACACUGCAUGUAAAUUUACCUGAAAUGACCGUGAUCUAGAUACACAGUUAAGCAGUGAGUACAGUAUGUUAUUCUUCUUUUCUCUAGUCCCUCAAUUAAACAACUUUUAUACGCGAGGGGAGGAGUCGGCCGGCCGUCCUGGCGAUGUCAACAAACUGAAGAUAGGACUUGGAGGACUCGGAAAGCAUCACAGACAAACUGACAAAACUGUGAGAAAAAUGGGACUUCCGAUACUCUACACCUCAUCAGAGAGAACCAACUGUACUCACACAGCCUGCCUACAUCACAUGUGGACCGAUGAAUGAUGCUGCUUCUUUGAGGAGGGAACUAAACGUCUACUAGUCAAACAACUCUUCGGUCCAAACAUUGGACAGAGAAAUGCGUGGCUCAGAUAAGCCCUUGAACGUACUGUAGAUGCUCUGAAGGACUAAAUGAAACCAUACGAUAAACUUGCCUGCCAUCCAUUUCAUGAACUACAUUUUUUAUGACGACUCAGAAGUGGACUCCUGGGAAAACAGGACGUAUUCAAACCUCUACCUGGGAAAAGUUAGUCGUAAUCUGAAUUUUCACAAAAUAAGUGAAUUCAAGGACACUAUUGAUAUAAAGACUUAAUGCACUGAUCACUUUAUGUGGAACGACUUGAAAUGUUUGACAUUUGAAUGUGACGCAUGCAAACUAAUGAUAUAUGGCCAUUUCAAAAAAAUGCUUCUGUCUCCAGAUUGUGUCUUUUACAUUGCUCAUUCAGUGGCAUAAACCUGACAAAUGUAUGUAUCGCAUCACACUGUAAAUUAAACUGAGAAAAUGC
This is an RNA transcript of Labrus mixtus (cuckoo wrasse), 3665 nucleotides long. It is a transcript of the gene named histamine receptor H2a, with no coding region annotated. NCBI's taxonomy places the organism in Eukaryota, Metazoa, Chordata, Actinopteri, Labriformes, Labridae. The transcript has 5 exons. The record is from RefSeq and is a predicted model, not a curated record.